ACGCUCGACACCUACUGGAGGCAGCAGUAGGGAAUCUUCCACAAUGGACGCAAGUCUGAUGGAGCAACGCCGCGUGAGUGAAGAAGGUUUUCGGAUCGUAAAGCUCUGUUGUUGGUGAAGAAGGAUAGAGGUAGUAACUGGCCUUUAUUUGACGGUAAUCAACCAGAAAGUCACGGCUAACUACGUGCCAGCAGCCGCGGUAAUCUGAGCGGCUGGCAAGGC
Molecule: ribosomal RNA, 222 nt
Filed under: uncultured bacterium
Lineage: Bacteria
Description: partial 16S ribosomal RNA
Rfam family: Bacterial small subunit ribosomal RNA
Source: RNAcentral